This 480-nucleotide ribosomal RNA is filed under the name uncultured bacterium. RNAcentral describes it as "partial 16S ribosomal RNA". It matches the Rfam family "Bacterial small subunit ribosomal RNA", at positions 28 to 523 of the family's 1533-position model. The record is from RNAcentral.
GACGAACGCUGGCGGCGUGCUUAACACAUGCAAGUCGAGCGGUAAGGCCCUUUCGGGGGUACACGAGCGGCGAACGGGUGAGUAACACGUGGGUGACCUGCCCUCCACUCUGGGAUAAGCCCGGGAAACUGGGUCUAAUACCGGAUAGGACACAUGAUCGCAUGGUUGUGUGUGGAAAGUUUUUUCGGUGGGGGAUGGGCCCGCGGCCUAUCAGCUUGUUGGUGGGGUAAUGGCCUACCAAGGCGGUGACGGGUAGCCGGCCGGAGAGGGCGACCGGAAACGGUGGGAGUGAGCCGCGGCCCAGACUCCUGCGGGGGGCAGCAGUGGGGAAUAUUGCGAAAUGGGGGGAGGCCGGACGCAGCGACGCCGGGUGGGGGAGGACAGCCUUCGGGUUGUAAACCUCUUUCGCCAGGGACGAAGCUUUUGUGACGGUACCUGGAGAAGAAGCCCCGGCAAACUACGUGCCAGCCGCCGCGGUAA